RNAcentral lists this small RNA (27 nucleotides) under Bombyx mori (domestic silkworm). Its description in RNAcentral is "ovarian small RNA-3254". Lineage: Eukaryota; Metazoa; Arthropoda; Insecta; Lepidoptera; Bombycidae. The record is from RNAcentral.
UCAGUGGACGUACGCCGCUGCUGCUGC